GAUGAACGCUGGCGGCGUGCCUAAUACAUGCAAGUCGAGCGAACGGACGAGAAGCUUGCUUCUCUGAUGUUAGCGGCGGACGGGUGAGUAACACGUGGAUAACCUACCUAUAAGACUGGGAUAACUUCGGGAAACCGGAGCUAAUCCCGGAUAAUAUUUUGCACCGCAUUGUUCAAAAGUGAAAGACGGUCUUGCUGUCACUUAUAGAUGGAUCCGCGCUGCAUUAGCUAGUUGGUAAGGUAACGGCUUACCAAGGCAACGAUGCAUAGCCGACCUGAGAGGAUGAUCGCCCACACUGGAGCGGAGACACGGUCCAGAGUCCUACGGGAGGCAGCAGUAGGGAAUCUUCGGCAAUGGGCGAAAGCCGGACAGAGCAACGCCGCGUGAGGGAUGGAGGUCAUAGGAUCGUAAAACUCUGUUAUUAGGGAAGAACAUAUGUGUAAGUAACUGUGCACAUCUUGACGGUACCUAAUCAGAAAGCCACGGCUAACUACGUG
RNAcentral lists this ribosomal RNA (497 nucleotides) under uncultured bacterium. RNAcentral's name for it is "partial 16S ribosomal RNA". It matches the Rfam family "Bacterial small subunit ribosomal RNA", at positions 28 to 507 of the family's 1533-position model. The record is from RNAcentral.